AAAGCCGGAACCCUAGCGAAUCUUUUCGACGUUUUCCAGUCGGCGGUGAAAGCGCAGUACCGGACCCUCCCGGAAGUUGUUGCACAGUCGUUUCCGGGGCAGUGUGCGGUGGAGCAGGACUUCAAUGGGUCGCAGCCGCAGCCGGUCCCCACGGAGGGAGCGUAGGCGGUCCCGGUCCACAUCUCGGGAGAGAGAACGCAGGCGCCGAGAAAGGUCCCGGUCCCGGGAGAGAGAUAGGAGAAGGAGCCGCUCUCGAUCCCCCCACAGAAGACGCUCUAGAUCUCCAAGACGACAUAGAUCCACAUCUCCUUCCCCUUCUCGACUGAAAGAAAGAAGAGAUGAGGAAAAGAAAGACACAAAAGAAACAAAGAGCAAAGAACGUCAAAUUACUGAGGAAGAUUUAGAGGGUAAAACUGAGGAAGAAAUAGAAAUGAUGAAGUUAAUGGGCUUUGCCUCCUUUGACUCCACAAAAGGGAAAAAGGUGGAUGGCUCUGUAAAUGCCUAUGCUAUAAAUGUGUCUCAGAAGAGGAAGUACAGGCAGUACAUGAAUCGAAAAGGUGGAUUCAACAGACCUUUGGAUUUCAUUGCAUGAGAACUGAAAUGUUGAAGAAUGAUUUUUUUUCCCUUUGAUCUUGAGCAGAAGAGUGGAUUUUAUAUUUUGUAUUUAAUGUGUAUCAAAAACAGGAUCACAGUUCUCCCUCCUUGUAAAGUUCAUUUCUUACAUGUGACAUUGCUGAGUGAGAGAGAAAGAGAGGGCAGAGUGGUCCUUUUAAAAUGUGCAUCAGGUUACAUUGCCUCUGGCUCUGGUGGUGGUUUUCUGUCACUUACAGAAGGUCCAGUCCUUACUGUGAUCUGCAAGGCUGGACCCUGGACAGUCUGGACCCUGGCUUGCUGCAACCUCCCCCCUCUUGCUACUGUGCUCAGCCACACUGCUGGCCUCCUUGCUGUUUCUCGAAAACAGGCACUGUCAAAUGGUUUUCCAAAGCAACUGCACUAUUUUACAUUCCAUCAGCGAUGUGUGAGGGGUCCAGCUUCUUCACAUGCUCUGUAAAAGUUUCCUUUUCCAUAUAGCACUUACCACCGCCUGACACCCUGUUCAUCUAUUACUGUCUGGUUCUUCCAUUAGACGUCAAGCUCUGAGGAGUGGUGCUUUCUUGUCUUGUUUUCCAUUGUAUCCCCAGCACCACACACAGUGCCUGGCACAGAGUGUAGCACUAUCAAUAAAUAUUUGUUGAAUUCGUGAA
RNA transcript from Manis pentadactyla (Chinese pangolin), 1244 nucleotides. It is a transcript of the gene named small nuclear ribonucleoprotein U4/U6.U5 subunit 27, with no coding region annotated. The transcript is spliced from 9 exons. Lineage: Eukaryota; Metazoa; Chordata; Mammalia; Pholidota; Manidae. The record is from RefSeq and is a predicted model, not a curated record.